CUUGUACCAGUGGGGUCCCUCGGCCUGGCCUGCGGGAUUGGGCCAAAACCAGAUUGUGAAAAGGUGCAGGCCAGGUCGAGGGACCCCACUGGUGCACA
Non-coding RNA from Myotis brandtii (Brandt's bat), 98 nucleotides. The record is from Rfam. Lineage: Eukaryota; Metazoa; Chordata; Mammalia; Chiroptera; Vespertilionidae.